GAGUGAUCUGGCUGUAGCAUCUUUCCCUUUGUUGAUCUCUGGAAUGGAUUUGGUUGAUCUGGCUGGUGAGGUUGGUGUUGCCUUCCUCUCCUGAAGCUGUGGGCUGGCUUGAAGAGGACCACUUUCCCAGAAUAGAGGAGGGUCAGCUUUCAGUCAAGUGUGUACAAGUAGUAUCUACAGUCCCCUGCUAGAACCUCCAAUCAAGUUCUCACUUUCAUUAUCUUAGGGAUUAGGAUUUCAUUAUAAAAUUUAGAGGGGAAGCAAACAUUUAACCCGUUAUAAUUAACAUCUUACUAUAGGCCGGGCGGUGAUGGCUCAUGCCUUUAAUC
This 329-nucleotide small nuclear RNA is filed under the name Peromyscus maniculatus bairdii (prairie deer mouse). RNAcentral's name for it is "7SK RNA (ENSPEMG00000006098.2)". It matches the Rfam family "7SK RNA". From Rfam's summary of the family: 7SK was discovered as an abundant small nuclear RNA in the mid-70s but a possible function has only recently been suggested. Two independent studies have found that 7SK RNA binds the CDK9/cyclin T complex (known as elongation factor P-TEFb). P-TEFb activates transcription by phosphorylating the C-terminal domain of RNA polymerase II. Lineage: Eukaryota; Metazoa; Chordata; Mammalia; Rodentia; Cricetidae. The record is from RNAcentral.